CUGAUGGCCCCACAAGACUGAAGUCUUCUAUUUAUCUACAGAAUAAACACAGUCUAGGCAGCAGCAGUGCAAGCACCCCACACAGCCCCGUCAAUGUGCCUCAGUCCUGUUCUAAUCUAGGAGUAAGAAUAAUUCAGUCUGUGGCUCUGAUUCUCCUCUCACUCAU
Molecule: small RNA, 166 nt
Filed under: Chrysemys picta bellii (western painted turtle)
Lineage: Eukaryota; Metazoa; Chordata; Testudines; Emydidae
Description: TUC338 (ENSCPBG00000008830.1)
Source: RNAcentral